This 64-nucleotide non-coding RNA is filed under the name Variovorax paradoxus. Its description in RNAcentral is "Xanthine-I sequence". It matches the Rfam family "Xanthine riboswitch aptamer (NMT1 RNA)". Rfam says of the family: Later it was reported as a ncRNA that recognised Xanthine. The record is from RNAcentral. Lineage: Bacteria; Pseudomonadati; Pseudomonadota; Betaproteobacteria; Burkholderiales; Comamonadaceae. RNAcentral also lists the same sequence under 1 other name.
GCGCAGAGUAGAAGCGUUCAGCCGCGCGGUGCCCCACGCAUCCCGGCGGGAAAUUGCUCUUUCA